This 279-nucleotide unclassified non-coding RNA is filed under the name plant metagenome. Its description in RNAcentral is "partial contains small subunit ribosomal RNA, internal transcribed spacer 1, and 5.8S ribosomal RNA". The record is from RNAcentral.
UAUCCGUAGGUGAACCUGCGGAAGGAUCAUUAUUGUAUAACCGAGGUGCGAGGGCUGUCGCUGACCCGAAAGGUCGUGCAACCACGAGUGCUACCACACUCAUCUAUCUAACCCCUAUGUGCACCACCGCGAGGGCCCCUCUUUGGCUUGUUCGGUGGGGGGCCUACGUUUUCACUCAAACUCUGUAUGCAGUGUAGAUUGUAUUUAUUGAUUUUGUGAAUACGAAAUCUAUACAACUUUCAACAACGGAUCUCUGGGCUCUGGCAUCCAUGUAGAAAG